UACCCGUGUGCAUGUCUUUCUUCACUGGU
This 29-nucleotide non-coding RNA is filed under the name Homo sapiens (human). Lineage: Eukaryota; Metazoa; Chordata; Mammalia; Primates; Hominidae. The record is from RNAcentral.